Long non-coding RNA from Salvelinus fontinalis (brook trout), 1316 nucleotides. RefSeq lists it as uncharacterized. The record is from RefSeq and is a predicted model, not a curated record. Lineage: Eukaryota; Metazoa; Chordata; Actinopteri; Salmoniformes; Salmonidae. The transcript is spliced from 9 exons.
AGUAUUCUAAGCCUAACUAAUCAGUAGUUUUGUUUGCAUGCAUGAAUAACUAGGCUACUACUUUCAGCAUUUAGUUUGCACUAUUUUGGUUAGACCGCUGUGUACACGGCAGCAUUCACAUAGGCUGUUUGGAAUAGGUGAAUUACCCUAUCUUGUAGCUCAUUUACAUGACGAAAUAGCCUUGCUUUAGUUUGUAGGACGCUGUCCAUUGUGCUGAUACAAUGCAGCAGAGAUGAGAAGUCCCUGACUGCAGUGUGCAGUUCCGGACCGGGCUCAAUGUGGGCGGAGUCAGACGCGUUAAACCCGAACCCUUCCCAUCUCCUUCAAGGUCACCGAAGUUGAGGUUCAAGUCGAAGGCAUCAACGAAAGCGAGUCUUAAUCGAACCUAACCUACAUGGAUAAAAGUAAACCAUGGAAUGUGUUAUUGGAGGGUGAGAGUCCCAAAAUUAAAAAAUGCAGCAGCAGUCAACUUCAUCACUGCCCCUAAUGCACAUAUAAGGCUGAACAAUAUGGUCAACAACCACAAAGGUCAUGCUUCAGUGAGACAGAGAGUUUACACUCAUAAAGUGUGGCUUCAGUUGUAGAAAUGUGACACACUUUCAUUAUUGCUACUGUACGGCAACAAUAAUCAACAGAACACAGUUUCUGAAGCACCUGACAUACCAUCAGCGUCCAGAGGCCCUUAAACAGUCCCCAGAGGCCCCUCAAGAUCUUGUCCCCUGGAACUUGGAGGACUUUUGGUGUGGAUGAUGAUCAUGGCCUACCAAAGCAAGGUUUCUCAAACAACUGUGGGGUGUUUGUUUUGAUGGAAAACAUGCAGCAAAUUCGGCGCUGGUGGUGCCUAGUUCUCCUGCAGAACUUUCCAAUGCCGUCUGAGGAGAGGUUGAAAGAACAAAAAAGGCGGCCAAAACAAAGCGCACUACAGGAUGAUGUUGAAGGCGAGCCCCCCCCCCCCCCCCAAGAAAUCACAGCAUGUUACAUCAGCAUCCAACUCUGCAGGACCAGACGAUACUGAAAACAAAAUGCACUGGGAGCUGUGAACUGGUGUAAUUGGGAUGGACGGGGAAGACCGCUUAAAGAACUACAGUUGUAUGAUGGCUUGGAUGAAGAGGAAAAUAUUCUCCUUAAGGAACCAUUCAUGUUCCAGUUAUGAGAUGUUCUAUGUGGAGGCAGUUGACAACAAGAAUAUUACUGUCUUUGCCUCUUGAGCAGGAGUGAAGCCAUUUUUUGAGGAGUGGUCAAAUCUUGUUUUUGUCUGCUGUGUUAAUUGUUUCAAUUGCUAAUUGUGUUGUUUAGUAAAGAUGAUGUAGAAGUCA